AUUAUUAGAUUAUGUUUCUAUAGUAUUAGAAGAACUUCCUUUAUAGGAUUCUCUAAUAUUUGAUGCAAAAUAUUAUUGAUGGCCAGGUGAAUGCAGUGGACUAUUCAAGAUCGAGGGCACCAACGGCAUAUGCUGAGGGCGUCCAUCAACAACCCGCCCAAUGUCCGGAUUCACCGAGGAGUACAACCGGAGACACUGUCGGCUGCCUGCAGGUCUGGAAACCAGACAACAUCUCUAAAACCAACCAUCCCCUAAUGCAUGAAUCACUUUGCUCAGUUUGGCUACAGCUAAUUGGCAAUCAUUUCAUCCUAUUCCAUAAUGCAAACAUCCUGUUUUUCUCAUCGAGAGAAAGAACAUUAAGAAUUUUUGCACAUUCUGUUGUAGCAAUAGUAUGAAUAGCAUCAGUGUAUUUGGUCAUAUGUUCUUGUGGCUUCCAAAAAAACUGUAAUCUUUGUUCUACUGGUACAACUCUCUUUGGCUAGGACAUUUUGGCUUCAAAUAACAUAAAUGAACCUAAAAUUUCUUAAUAUUUUAUAUCACUUUUUGUAUUGAUGUUCUUCGUGCAUGCUCAUCUGCCAAGAGGUCAAUCCAAUAAUGUCAUGCGUUCCUCAGCAGGCGCCAAGCCCCCCGACACCAAGCCGUCUGUUCUUCUCUCUGCCCGAAGAAGGAUUAUGGUUCUCCACCUCUCUGCUACUCAUAUUAAAAUUCCGGUAUGUUCUUUCUUUCUUUAUUUUCUGUCAACAAAAAGGUGAAACCUGUUCUUAAUUUUCCAUAAUGAUUUUGAUGGCAAUUUGUCAGUGUAUUUCUAGCUGGAAUUGCACGUAUAUCUUACAAAUUUACAUUGCAACAAAUUAAGAAGGAGAAUAGAAGUAUUUGCAGCCAUCUAACAUAUGGUAUUUUUCAAAAAGCUCAAGGUUAGAGAUGUGGCGCUGUAUGAGGCUAUCAUUACGAUGGAAGAUAAAUUAUUGUUAAAAUAUUGUUUGAAUUUCCUUCAUUCUGUAAACGGCAAUACAAGCUAUGUUUGCACCAUGAUUCUAUUCCAAUUUUUUUUAACAACUAGCAAUUAACGACACAUCAAAUGUCCUGUAUUCAAAUGGAUCAUUUUGUCUGGUUGGGUUUAGUAGGUCAUAAUGGUUUUAUUGUACAGCAGGAUUAAUUUUGUUUAUACUGUAACCAGUUCAAGGAUUGAUAAGUUUUCUCCCUAUGAUCUUUGCACACAAAGGUUCGGAUGUGUUCUUUUUGAAAUAUACGUCCGGCAAGUCUCAUGUGUCUUGCAUUGUUUUCGCUUUCCAAGCUACAGGUUUGGAUAUUCUUUGAACAAGAUUCUUUAUAUGUUGUUCGAUUCCUCUUGACCACAAGGGGAAUGCUUACUGUGGCAAUACGCACUUCUAUGCUUACUGAUUGGCAUUUUUAUUAGCAUGGAGAAUAACUUUUAGUUCACUAAGAUUAGUUUAUGUUCACAUUGCUCUAUAUAUAAAAAAAGGAUUGUUGUGCUGAAAAGGUAUAUGACAUUCUGGCAAAACGUUGUUUAGUAAAAAGGUAUGUAGAGGUGAACUUUAGAAGUGAAAUGGUGUGGAUGUUCUGACAGGGAGAUGCUUGGACUAACUUUAGCGUCACACAUGACUUUUUGUUUUCCUCCGAAUGUAUGUUCUACUAAUUGUCAGCGCCUGAAUUUUUGUUUUCCUCCCAAUGUCAUGUGAUAAUUACUGCACUAUAAAUCACAUGCUUGCAAGUCAUUGUUGUGUCGUCUCUCUCUCUCUCUAACCGCACCCUCCCCCUUCCCAUCAUCUUGGCUUGCAGGUUGCUGGCGUGUCUCCCACGAGUCCACGACAUAACGUGUAAUCUAGGUUGUUGGCAAGUUAACUUAGGAUUGGCAACCUAUAGUGUAUUAGUGUGGCAAGCGCAUGGGAAGGUGGGAUUACAUUCUAUACUCUUGAAACUAUGUAGAAUUUUACAUAUACAUUGUUCACUUCAGCAAAAUAGAGAUCCCCUAACUAGCAGAUCAAUGUUGGUUGUGAUCAAACUUUUUUACAUUGUCAUAUUUGUAGAUAUAGUGUGUGAUGGAGUAUCAACUAGCUGCCUUUGGUCGCACUUAGUAUAAAAGUCUCAUAUAUUGCUAGCUCCUUGUAUAUCUAAUUGGAUUGUUUGCUGAACAAUUUCUCUAAUGUACAUCUCUAAAAUUACUAAUAUAUGGAUUUUCUAAACAUGAUGGUGCAUAUCCGAGAAAGAAGAAAUAGGACCAAGGAAAUUAGGUGCUUCUCUACCUCUAUCAUUCACAUUUUAUUGUAUUUUCUAAAGAUGUGUGCCGCUCCUCGCCUGGUGUUAGUUUCUGCAUGCUUCUCUCCAUGGUCCUCUUUAUUUAGUAUGUAGAGUUCAACUAAACCAUAACGAAUGUGGAGGUUUAUUUUAUUUAUGUUUGUUUAUUUUGAUGGUUUAUUGACUGUUAGAAUAUAGUAUGUUGUGUUCAACAUGCUCACAAAAUUGAAUAGAAGCCCUUCUGAUGUCGAAAUCAGAUUAAAUUUAUGGACUAGAUCAUUUAGAUAUUACAGGGGAGAACAACAUUUGUUUUCUGGAUUCAGUUUUGGUUCUUUCUAUAAAAAUAGUCGGAUAGUGGUCUUAAUGAAACAUUGCAUUUAUUUCAUACAAGUCGCUGACAUAAUUUGCAUCUAGCAAAUAAAUUUGUAUCACUAUCUGUUUUAUCAGGUAAAACACCAGCAUGUUGUUUGAGGUGCAUGCAUCGGUUGUAGCGAAGAUGUGCGUAUGACGAUGUAUUGCUGACCAUGGAGCACUCAAGGCUUCAAGAUAUCUACCGCAACUUAGAGGCUUGACACAUUGCCACUUGCUCCUACCACCAUGCAAAUGGUCGAUGCUUUAGUGUUGAACUAUUUCUUUAAUCUAUGUGAUGGUGCAACUUACCAUUAGUACUUGUCAUGUGGAUUUCAAUAGAAAUGAUGUUUUAGGCAUGUUUGAUGGUUAUAAAACAAAUGCCAUAGAUGAUAGCUAUUGCUAUUAUGGAGUUUGGAACUAUUGUUCAACUGAUAUUCAAUGUUUGAUGCUCCUUCAUUAUUUUUAUUAUACAAGAGGGUGAAAGCUCCUAUCAUACAUGUUUGCUCAAAACCUAAUGCUCCUAACUAAUGAGAAUAUUUUAAAAGCACUCAUGAUUUUAAUGGCACAUAUAUUUUAAAAAAAGGCUAUGCAUUUUUUGCUUAAACACAGUCUAAGAAUACAAAUGUUUCAAUGUGAACAUGAUUUCAAUUGGGCCUCUGUGAACAUGGUAGCAUGUAUUUUG
Molecule: long non-coding RNA, 3289 nt
Filed under: Triticum aestivum (bread wheat)
Lineage: Eukaryota; Viridiplantae; Streptophyta; Magnoliopsida; Poales; Poaceae
Description: long non-coding RNA (TAES_LNC016139)
Source: RNAcentral